This 256-nucleotide ribosomal RNA is filed under the name uncultured bacterium. RNAcentral's name for it is "partial 16S ribosomal RNA". It matches the Rfam family "Bacterial small subunit ribosomal RNA", at positions 524 to 776 of the family's 1533-position model. The record is from RNAcentral.
UACGUAGGGUGCGAGCGUUGUCCGGAAUUAUUGGGCGUAAAGGGCUCGUAGGCGGUCUGUCGCGUCGGGGAGUGAAAACUCAGGGCUUAACCCUGAGCCUGCUUCCGAUACGGGCAGACUAGAGGUAUGCAGGGGGAGAACGGAAUUCCUGGUGUAGCGGUGGAAUGCGCAGAUAUCAGGAGGAACACCGGUGGCGAAGGCGGUUCUCUGGGCAUUACCUGACGCUGAGGAGCGAAAGUGUGGGGGAGCGAACAGG